This 612-nucleotide ribosomal RNA is filed under the name uncultured bacterium. RNAcentral's name for it is "bacterial SSU rRNA". It matches the Rfam family "Bacterial small subunit ribosomal RNA", at positions 338 to 1414 of the family's 1533-position model. The record is from RNAcentral.
CCUACGGGAGGCAGCAGUGAGGAAUUUUCUGCAAUGGGCGAAAGCCUGACAGAGCAAUACCGCGUGAGGGAUGAAGGCCUACGGGUUGUAAACCUCUUUUCUCAAGGAGGAAGAUCUGACGUUACUUGAGGAAUAAGCAUCGGCUAACCCUGUGCCAGCAGCCGCGGUAAUACAGGGGAUGCAAGUGUUAUCCGGAAUUAUUGGGCGUAAAGCGUCUGCAGGUUGAUAUUUAAGUCUUUUGUUAAACCUCCGGGCUCAACCCGGAAUCUGCAAAGGAAACUAUAUAUCUUGAGUAUGGUAGGGGUAAAGGGAAUUUCCAGUGGAGCGGUGAAAUGCGUAGAUAUUGGAAAGAACACCAACAGCGAAGGCACUUUACUGGGCCAGUACUGACACUCAGAGACGAAAGCUAGGGGAGCCAACAGGAUUAGAUACCCUGGUAGUCCUAGCUGUAAACGAUGGAUACUAGAUGUUGUGUACCUUUGGGUAUGCAGUGUGUAGCUACGUACGUUAGUAUCCGUCCGUCGGAGUAUGCGUCGCGAGAGUAGAACGUACGAAGUAAGUAAGUUAGUUACGGCGUGUUAGACGUGCCGACGGCGACGACGAGGGAGGAGG